GACAGAGGUGGCAAGCGUUGUUCGGAAUUACUGGGCGUAAAGCGCGCGUAGGCGGCCAUCUAAGUCAGACGUGAAAUCCCCCGGCUUAACCUGGGAACUGCGUCUGAUACUGGAAGGCUUGAGUAUGGGAGAGGGAUGUAGAAUUCCAGGUGUAGCGGUGAAAUGCGUAGAUAUCUGGAGGAAUACCGGUGGCGAAGGCGGCAUCCUGGACCAUUACUGACGCUGAGGCGCGAAAGCUAGGGGAGCAAACGGG
RNAcentral lists this ribosomal RNA (253 nucleotides) under uncultured bacterium. Its description in RNAcentral is "partial 16S ribosomal RNA". It matches the Rfam family "Bacterial small subunit ribosomal RNA", at positions 524 to 776 of the family's 1533-position model. The record is from RNAcentral.